This 1083-nucleotide ribosomal RNA is filed under the name Triticum aestivum (bread wheat). RNAcentral's name for it is "partial small subunit ribosomal RNA". The record is from RNAcentral. Lineage: Eukaryota; Viridiplantae; Streptophyta; Magnoliopsida; Poales; Poaceae.
AUGAACCUUUGUUUAUUGGCUUCCUGGGUCAAGAGAUACUUCCUAGAUGAUGGCAAGAUUUGGAAACAAGUCGUAGAUGCCAAGUACAACACCCACAGCCCUAAUAUCUUUGCUUGUAUUGCCACUGGUGCUUCCCCCUUUUGGAAAGAGAUCCUAUGGGCUGCUAAAGCCGCUAACAUAGGUUAUUCCUGGUGUAUUGGGAAUGGCAAAAGCAUCAGGUUUUGGAGAGAUCGGUGGAUCGGGCAAACUACUCUAGCCACUAAAUAUUGGAGGCUAUUUAGCAUCGUCCAUGAUAGAGAUAUUGUUGUGAGUGAUGCCUCGGACGGCUCCAAUCUAAAGAUCUCUUUUAGAAGAUAUUUUACUAGUGAUAUGUUAGCUGAGUGGAAUGAUCUAUUCAAUUACAUCAAGGAUACUGUGCUAACAGAUAUGGUUGACACAGUUAGAUGGGGGUAUGAUGCUAAGGGUGUUUACUCUGUUAAAUCCUUCUACAGUAUUAUUAAUUUUAGAGGGAUUCACCCUGGGAACCUCCUGUCCAUUUGGAAUAUAAAAGUUCCGCUGCGUAUUCAUAUUUUUCUUUGGCUAGUGGCUAAAAAUAAGCUUCUGACUAGAGAUAAUCUUCAGAAAAGACAGUCGGUAGAUGAUAUUACCUGUCUUUUUUGCAAUGACCCCGAAUCUAUGGAGCAUUUAUUUUUUGGCUGUGUCGUUGCGAAGGAACUUUGGAGGGUGAUUGGGGACUUUUCUAACAGCCAACCUGGAAUGUCUAUAUCUGACAUACUAGAAUGGUGGUCCUCCAAUAAAAAUCGCCCCGCAGAUUGUUUACUUCAUUCCGCUGCCCUUUGGGCUUUGUGGAAAUAUCGUAACGACAUGUAUUUCAAUCGUAUCCCUUGGUCUGGAAUGCAGGUGCGUGGAGAAAGACUGCUGCUACGUUGGACAGCUGGGCGAUUCGAUGCUCAGAUCCUGUCAAAGGAAAAGUGCUGCACUAUGUGCGAAAGAUGGAGCAGUUGGCAAGAUCCCCACCCCUCCUGUUAUGGCCAGAUCCUGGCUAGGUCUUCAGAAGUGCUCGGAGGUGCUGCUUGGUCGUGA